GACGAACGCUGACGGCGUGCUUAACACAUGCAAGUCGAACGAGUGGGAACGGGUGAGUAACACGUGGGUAACCUCCCAUCAGAGGGGAUAACACUUGGAAACAGGUGCUAAACCGAUACUGAUGGAUGGACCCGCGGUGCAUUAGCUAGUUGGUGAGGUAACGGCUCACCAAGGCCACGAUGCAUAGCCGACCUGAGAGGGUGACCGGCCACACUGGGACUGAGACACGGCCCAGACUCCUACGGGAGGCAGCAGUAGGGAAUCUUCGGCAAUGGACGAAAGUCUGACCGAGCAACGCCGCGUGAGUGAAGAAGGUUUUCGGAUCGUAAAACUCUGUUGUUAGAGAAGCGGUAUCUAACCAGAAAGCCACGGCUAACUACGUGCCAGCAGCCGCGGUAAUUC
This 402-nucleotide ribosomal RNA is filed under the name uncultured bacterium. RNAcentral describes it as "partial 16S ribosomal RNA". It matches the Rfam family "Bacterial small subunit ribosomal RNA", at positions 28 to 526 of the family's 1533-position model. The record is from RNAcentral.